Molecule: ribosomal RNA, 744 nt
Filed under: uncultured bacterium
Lineage: Bacteria
Description: bacterial SSU rRNA
Rfam family: Bacterial small subunit ribosomal RNA
Source: RNAcentral
AGAGUUUGAUCCUGGCUCAGAACGAACGCUGGCGGCAUGCCUAACACAUGCAAGUCGAACGCCUGUAGCAAUACAGGAGUGGCGCACGGGUGAGUAACACGUGGGAACCUGCCCUGGAGUGGGGGAUAACCGAGGGAAACCUCGGCUAAUACCGCAUACGACCUGAGGGUGAAAGAUUUGUCGCUCUAGGAGGGGCCCGCGUCGGAUUAGCUAGUUGGUGAGGUAACGGCUCACCAAGGCAAUGAUCCGUAGCUGGUCUGAGAGGAUGGUCAGCCACACUGGGACUGAGACACGGCCCAGACUCCUACGGGAGGCAGCAGUGGGGAAUAUUGGACAAUGGGGGCAACCCUGAUCCAGCAAUGCCGCGUGAGUGAUGAAGGCCUUAGGGUUGUAAAGCUCUUUCGGCGGGGACGAUGAUGACGGUACCCGCAGAAGAAGCCCCGGCUAACUUCGUGCCAGCAGCCGCGGUAAUACGAAGGGGGCGAGCGUUGUUCGGAUUUACUGGGCGUAAAGGGCGCGCAGGCGGCUUUGGAAGUCAGAUGUGAAAGCCCCGGGCUUAACCUGGGAAUUGCAUUUGAUACUCUGGAGCUAGAGUGUGGGAGAGGAUAGUGGAAUUCCCAGUGUAGAGGUGAAAUUCGUAGAUAUUGGGAAGAACACCGGUGGCGAAGGCGGCUAUCUGGACCACAACUGACGCUGAGGCGCGAAAGCGUGGGGAGCAAACAGGAUUAGAUACCCUAGUAGUCC